UUCGGAACAGGUUAGUGUUUCGUUUGUUAAUCCAUAUUAUUGAUACAUCCACUAAUGUUUUGAAUAAUUUGGGGAUCAUUUUGUUGCAGAGGACUGAGAAUAUGGUCUCAAGGCUAAACCUCAAGGGAAGUACAAGCGAAUGAUAUGAAAAUGUAAGAAGAAAACGAUUCAUAUGAAUGUAAGCAGCAAUCCAUGAAGGUUUUUAUGUCUAAAGCUGUAAACAUUGUAAUAUUUAUGGUGUUUGUUUAUCCUGUACUCUAUGCAACUCCAGCCUCAACCUGUUUCAGGCUGAAUAACAGUGAAUUAAAUAAAAUAAAAAACAAUGAAACCUUUUCUAGCUUCGUACUCAAUAUUGUUUAAUUUAGUUAUAAUUUCAUACUAAAUAUCAGUUGAGUAUCAAGAGGAUGCUGCUUUUGUGGCAUGGACUACUACUCACAUCGACUCUUCCAAGUAACCUUGGUGGUUUGUGUGUCAAUGCAGAGUGUGUCUAUUUCAAGGUUGGUAACAAAAACAAUGGGAAACUCUUUAAGUUGUUGCAGAAUCUCGUUUGUCAGCACUUCCCACUGAUAAGGCCAUGAAAGCCAAAUGUGCUAAACAUGACAGUACAGCUAAUUCUUUCCAAGAUUCGGAAAAUAAUAAUUUACGGAGAAGAUGACUACCAUGAUGUCUUGAGAACAAGAUCAUUAAAAAAGGUUAAUUAGGAUUAAAGAACCCACGCUCUCAGUCUACUCUACUAUUCUCGCUAUAUCUCCUUAAUGUUGAACGUUCUGUAUAUGGUUUUAUGAUCCCUUGCUUGCAAGGGGAAAUCUAGCUUUGGCUGUUGAUGACGAUGGCUUAUGUACUGAGAAUGAUCCAUUUCAGUUGCCGUUAUGUCAAAGAUGCAGACAAGUAUUUUACUGAUGCCGUCAAGGUGGUUACUGAUGCCUAAAUGUUUGUAAUAGGGCCACAUGAGUUAGUUAAGAUCACACUUACUGAUUUGUUACAAUUAUUUUGUUAUUUCAGGCCAAAGGAAGGCUUGUUAGUCAGGGAGAUUUACUCACUUUAUCCAAUUUACUGGCCGCCAAAGACUCCUCCUCUCAUAUACAGAGAUCAGUUCUCGAGUUGCGGAGUUGGUAUGCUUCAUGUUUAACAUGAUUUUUUUAGUAGAGGUCUUAGUUUUUGGGUUCGUUUAGUAGUAUAGUUCCAGUGAGGCACUUCGUCUCGCUGGUCCUUGUCUUGAGUUUGGCUUAAAAGAUGUAGGCUUUCGUCUUGUCACCCAGUCCUGUUAAAUAUCUUUGAAUUGAUUACAUCUAUAUGCCAUCUUUCUGCAUAUUGAUUUGCGAGUUAAUCGCCACACUGUUUAGGAUAUCUGGCCUAAUUGGCUCGUAGAUAUUAGCAAAGAUGAUACAAAGCUUAUUAUUUAAUUUCAUGAGACGUUUACAUGUUGAACUGUUGAAGCUUGAUUAGGCCUGUGUGCAAGGAGCAGUUUUAGAAAACAAUAAACAGGUGUUAUCCCAUACUUAUGUUUAUGCCACGCUUUAUCAGGUCCUUUGAUUGCUUGUUUGAGAGUAGGUGAAUGCAUUGUGCAAAUAUCCAUGAUCUGAUUAUAAAUAAUACUCUAAUAGUCAAUGAUUGCACUUAAUUAAGUGAUAAUUUUAGGCUGAUUAAUCAAUGAGACCAGUCCAAUACCCCGAUUCACUAGUGACUCGAGUUUUGCGGAGAAAAUACCGAAUGAGCUCGCCUUUGCGAAUAUGCUCAAUGAAUAAUCAAUUUGAUUUAAGAUUUGCACACAAUCUCCCAAAAGUCCGAAAUUAAUUUCUGAAAUACCAAUCGAAAAACAUUUCAAUUCACCUUAAAAGUCCGAAAUUAAUUUCUGAAAUUUAAGAUUUGUAUGUAUAUGUGUUACAUGUAUCUAUAUAUUGUUUAUUUUAUUGUGCAUAUAGAAUAGAUCGAGAGAGAGAAAAAUUAUAUUUCAAUUGUAUAGCUUUAAAUAAAAUAAAAUUCAACAAAUCAAUGUAUCCUUUUUAAAAAAAAAACUCGAACCAUACUAGUAUAAGAUAAUAUAGAUUGAAAAUCCAUUUGAUGUAAUAUAUAGUAUAAAAUAUAUAAAAUAUAUAAAAUAUAUAUUUAUUUAGAAAGAUUCAUUAUAUUUUAUGUGUAGAAAAUAAUAUUUUUAAUAUAUAAAAUAAAAAAUUUAAUAAUUAUUUUAACAUAAAGUGAAAGCAACUAAAAGUAAAAAGGAGAAACACAUUUGUAACAUAAUAAUGAUUAAUCUUUACUACCUUAAACCAAUGAAAACAAAUUUUAAACUAUAUAGUUUAUUUUAAAAAUUAAACAAAAACUAAAUUUUUAAUUAUUUACUCGAUAAUAUAAAUCUAUGAAGAGAAAAAUUUAAUUUUUUAUAAACUUUCUAAAUUUGUAAAAUGUUACAAUAUCUUUGAAUACGACAAUAAAACGAUAUUUUACUAAUCUUUAUAUAUAGUUACGAUUUUAAUAAUGAAAUAAUAAUCCGAAAAUAUAUAUAUAGAAGAAGAUACAAAUACAUGUGAAAGUUUGAAACAAUCUAUUCAAUGAAAAAAAUAUACCGUAAACUUAUUAUAUUUUAAAAAUUGAUACACACAUAUAUAUUACUCUCUCUGUUUCAUAAUACUUGAUGUUUUGCCUUAGUGGACAAAGAUUAAGAAAAUUAUUUUUUUCUUAAAAAAACAUUUUAAGGAUAUAAUUUUAAAAUUAGUUAACCAAUUAUAAAAAAGACGGUAAAAUCUAAUUGGUUGAACAAUUUCCAAUAAAGUUAAAGUUAACCUUAAAAUCUCAAAACUUCAUGUAAAUUGAAACAAAAUAAUCAUUCUAUAAUAUAACCAAUUUAGAAUUGAAAACAAAAUAUUUAUAUAAAAAUAAAUGAAAAUAAAAAAACGCGCGGUUGCGCGGAUCGAGAUCUAGUAUCGAUUAAAUUUAUUGAAAUAUAACUGUGUUCCAGAAAAAAAGGAUUUUAAAUAUAAUUUUAAUUUGAUUUAGAAGUUAAAGAAAAACUUACAAAAAAAUCAAACUGAUUGACUAUCGAACCAAACCGAUAUUUUUUUUUGUAAACAUGUUGAUCGGUUAAUUGAUAAGGUGUUGAAAGAGAGCCAAGGGAAGCAAGAAGAGAAAAGUAAUUACUCCACUUGUUUGGUCAAAUAAUGGAAGCGGCGACUAAGCAGAGCGUUACAAACCGCCUUCUCACCGUGAAGUCAGUUUCCGGCAAGACUUACAGCCAACUAGCGGCGGAGACAGGGCUCACCAACGUCUACGUGGCUCAGCUGCUCCGUCGCCAAGCCCAGCUCAAACCCGAAACAGUGCCCAAGCUCCGUGAAGCUUUACCUGCUCUGACAGAAGAACUCAUCGCCGCCAUGAUGUCUCCGCCGUGGAGAUCGUAUGAUCCAAACCUCAUCCAAGAACCCACCGUCUACAGGUUUUUUUAUUCUCAUCGAAGUUUAUUAGUUUCUGGGUAUUAAAGUUGAUGGCUUUUUAUAGGUUGAACGAAGCAGUGAUGCAUUUUGGUGAGAGUAUAAAGGAGAUUAUCAAUGAAGAUUUUGGCGACGGCAUGUAAGUUUUGACUAUACUUUAUAUUCAUAUAAGCCACUGCUGGUUCUUCUUAUGCUCAUAGUAUUAGCUUCUUCAGUAACUAGAAUGUUCUUUGUUAUUAAAUUAGAAGGUAAUAUUUGUUUAGUAGAUUCCGCUUUACAUAUAAGAUUGCUGUUAGAAACCUUUGAGUCUCUGUUAGUGGUAACUUUAAAACUGAGCCUUUUGUUACAUUGUUGUGUGUGUAUUCAGCAUGUCGGCGAUAGACUUCUAUUGCUCUGUGGACAAAGUUAAAGGAGUUGACGGUAAUAACCGCGUUGUCGUGACACUUGAUGGGAAGUAUCUUUCUCAUUCGGAACAGGUUAGUGUUUCGUUUGUUAAUCCAUAUUAUUGAUACAUCCACUAAUGUUUUGAAUAAUUUGGGGAUCAUUUUGUUGCAGAGGACUGAGAAUAUGGUCUCAAGGCUAAACCUCAAGGGAAGUACAAGCGAAUGAUAUGAAAAUGUAAGAAGAAAACGAUUCAUAUGAAUGUAAGCAGCAAUCCAUGAAGGUUUUUAUGUCUAAAGCUGUAAACAUUGUAAUAUUUAUGGUGUUUGUUUAUCCUGUACUCUAUGCAACUCCAGCCUCAACCUGUUUCAGGCUGAAUAACAGUGAAUUAAAUAAAAUAAAAAACAAUGAAACCUUUUCUAGCUUCGUA
This 4233-nucleotide long non-coding RNA is filed under the name Brassica napus (rape). Its description in RNAcentral is "long non-coding RNA (BNAP_LNC019783)". Lineage: Eukaryota; Viridiplantae; Streptophyta; Magnoliopsida; Brassicales; Brassicaceae. The record is from RNAcentral.